GGGCUAGUAAUGGUUUCGACAGGGAUCAUGCAGCUGGAGAAGCGAGUCGUACGGGAUACGUUAAAUUCCACAAUUAAAAUUAAACGCUGAAGAUAAUUUAGCAUACGCUGCCUAAUGGCAGCAGUCUGACCUAGGGCACUCACACUUUAGGAUCCAGGCUUCGACUCUGUGAGAAACGACGCAGGCUAAGCUUUGCACCUGUGGGCGUAUCAUGAAGCUACUAAAACCACAAGGAUGUUUGUUUUCGUGUGGUGGAGGGAAUGUCAAAGAAUAAACUACACUCGUAGAAGGACAGGGAAUUGGUUUUUGGACACGGGUUCGACUCCCGUCUAGUCCACUA
Molecule: non-coding RNA, 340 nt
Organism: Roseburia sp. CAG:18
Lineage: Bacteria; Bacillati; Bacillota; Clostridia; Lachnospirales; Lachnospiraceae
Rfam family: transfer-messenger RNA
About the family: Bacterial tmRNA, also known as 10Sa RNA or SsrA, is named for its dual tRNA and mRNA-like properties.
Source: Rfam